Molecule: unclassified non-coding RNA, 868 nt
Filed under: Hevea brasiliensis (rubber tree)
Lineage: Eukaryota; Viridiplantae; Streptophyta; Magnoliopsida; Malpighiales; Euphorbiaceae
Source: RNAcentral
UUCUGGGGUCUACAGAAGAAGGAGAAGCUAAAAGGGGUGAUUUUGUUUUUUGUUUGUUGUUGUUCUAAUGGGGAUAUGUUUGAGUGCUAGAAUUAAAGCUGAAAGCCCAUUUCAUACAGGGCUAAAUUCAAGAUCUGUUAGCAUAGAUGGUGGUGAUAGUAAUUCAAGCUCCAGGGUUCCAUCAACUACUAGAAGUGAAGGAGAGAUAUUGCAGUCUCCCAAUUUGAAGAGCUUUAGUUUUUCUGAUCUCAGAACAGCCACUAGGAACUUUCGUCCCGAUAGUGUGCUGGGAGAAGGUGGAUUUGGAUCAGUUUUUAAAGGGUGGAUCGAUGAGAACACGUUCGCAGCUACCAAGCCUGGGACAGGUGUGAUCAUUGCUGUGAAAAGGCUUAAUCAAGAAGGUUUUCAAGGUCACAGGGAAUGGCUGGCAGAAGUUAACUAUUUGGGGCAGUUUUCUCAUCCUCAUCUUGUAAAGCUGAUUGGCUACUGCUUGGAGGACGAACAUCGUCUUUUGGUUUAUGAGUUCAUGCCUCGGGGCAGCUUGGAAAACCAUUUGUUUAGGAGAGGUUCUUAUUUCCAGCCUCUUUCUUGGAAACUACGCUUGAAGGUUGCUCUAGGAGCUGCAAAAGGGCUUGCUUUUCUCCACAGUGCUGAGACUAAAGUGAUAUAUCGAGACUUCAAAACCUCGAAUAUUUUGCUUGAUUCGAACUACACUGCCAAACUCUCAGACUUUGGAUUAGCCAAGGAUGGGCCAACAGGCGAUAAAAGCCAUGUCUCUACAAGGGUUAUGGGGACCUAUGGAUAUGCCGCUCCAGAAUACAUGGCUACUGGUCAUUUAACUAGCAAGAGUGAUGUGUAUAGUUUUGGA